RNAcentral lists this small RNA (128 nucleotides) under Fannyhessea vaginae DSM 15829. RNAcentral describes it as "Atopobium vaginae DSM 15829 Streptococcus sRNA SpR18". It matches the Rfam family "Streptococcus sRNA SpR18". Lineage: Bacteria; Bacillati; Actinomycetota; Coriobacteriia; Coriobacteriales; Atopobiaceae. The record is from Rfam by way of RNAcentral.
AUCAUGGGAAUAGCUGCAUGAAAUAGUUCCUUGUAUUCGAAUGAUGCUAGAAGCUAAAAAGAAUAAAUUGAGCAAUAGUUCCAAGUGGUUUACAUGAGGACAAAAAUAAGACCGUAGCCUCAGGCUGC